Molecule: long non-coding RNA, 235 nt
Filed under: Elaeis guineensis (African oil palm)
Lineage: Eukaryota; Viridiplantae; Streptophyta; Magnoliopsida; Arecales; Arecaceae
Description: long non-coding RNA (EGUI_LNC024428)
Source: RNAcentral
GCUAUGGAGUCUAGCUAGUUUUCGAUUAUUAUGCGUAGAUUAAGCUGGUGGAGAGUUAUUUCCAUUCGGGGCAUGAUCCAAUCACGGGGAUAUUCUUCCUUAUCUGGACUUUUUUGAAUUGAAGGAGGUGUGGGAUCAAUCAAUGAAGGCUAUUGUGCAUCAUAGUCGAAGGUCGGCUUGGGCUGACUUGGAGUAUCAUGGUUCUAGUUAAGAUCUGAGCUGAGUCCUAAAGGUG